GAGGACGACCAGCCACACUGGGACUGAGACACGGCCCAGACUCGUACGGGAGGCAGCAGUGGGGAAUUUUGGACAAUGGGCGAAAGCCUGAUCCAGCAAUGCCGCGUGUGUGAAGAAGGCCUUCGGGUUGUAAAGCACUUUUGUCCGGAAAGAAAACCUCCGCCCUAAUAUGGUGGGGGGAUGACGGUACCGGAAGAAUAAGCACCGGCUAACUACGUGCCAGCAGCCGCGGUAAUACGUAGGGUGCAAGCGUUAAUCGGAAUUACUGGGCGUAAAGCGUGCGCAGGCGGUCCGCUAAGACAGAUGUGAAAUCCCCGGGCUUAACCUGGGAACUGCAUUUGUGACUGGCGGGCUAGAGUAUGGCAGAGGGGGGUAGAAUUCCACGUGUAGCAGUGAAAUGCGUAGAGAUGUGGAGGAAUACCGAUGGCGAAGGCAGCCCCCUGGGCCAAUACUGACGCUCAUGCACGAAAGCGUGGGGAGCAAACAGGAUUAGAUACCCUGGUAGUCCACGCCCUAAACGAUGUCAACUAGUUGUUGGGGAUUCAUUUCCUUAGUAACGUAGCUAACGCGUGAAGUUGACCGCCUGGGGAGUACGGUCGCAAGAUUAAAACUCAAAGGAAUUGACGGGGACCCGCACAAGCGGUGGAUGAUGUGGAUUAAUUCGAUGCAACGCGAAAAACCUUACCUACCCUUGACAUGUAUG
Molecule: ribosomal RNA, 703 nt
Filed under: Paraburkholderia sp.
Lineage: Bacteria; Pseudomonadati; Pseudomonadota; Betaproteobacteria; Burkholderiales; Burkholderiaceae
Description: bacterial SSU rRNA
Rfam family: Bacterial small subunit ribosomal RNA
Source: RNAcentral